CUAUCUUUGCCGAAAUCUGGUGCGCCAUAAAAAGCGCUUAAAAGGGAAUCCGGUGAAAAUCCGGAACAGACCCGCUGCUGUAAGCUCCAAACCAAAGUUUUUGAAGAAUAUAUCCACUGUUGUAAAAUGGGAAGGAUUUCAAAAAUGGAGUAAGUCAGAAGACCUGCCGGACAAUUAACGUUUGA
RNAcentral lists this non-coding RNA (185 nucleotides) under Chryseobacterium soli. The record is from RNAcentral. Lineage: Bacteria; Pseudomonadati; Bacteroidota; Flavobacteriia; Flavobacteriales; Weeksellaceae.